Molecule: long non-coding RNA, 893 nt
Organism: Armigeres subalbatus
Lineage: Eukaryota; Metazoa; Arthropoda; Insecta; Diptera; Culicidae
Exons: 2
Source: RefSeq, a predicted model, not a curated record
CCAUAAUAUAUAAUGUUCAUCAAAGCAAUCAUGUUUAAAAUGUUCAAUAAAAUAAAAUGUCAUUAGUCCAUAGUCAUUGAAACAAACCAGACGGUUUUUUAUUUUGGCUGGCAACCUGCAACAGGUACCGCCGUUUUAGAUGUUGUAUCAUCGUUUCGUAUUUCCUUGAAGCCAAAGCGAAAACAGUUUUCAUGUGGUACAGCGAGAAAUCUGCUUUAUGUUAUGAAUAGAGAUUGUUAUAUUUAACUAAGAUAAACAGUCAGAUAGUGACAAGUUAAAGUGAUCGAAGCUCCAGAGGAUGGGGAAUAUGUAAAUAUAAUAUUGUAAAAAAUCAACUAGAUUUAACGAUAAUGAGUGGAUAAGUGUAGUUUGGAGGAUAAAAUUACGGAGCAGAAUAGAACACCAGUAACAUUUUUUGUUUUAUGUUGGUUAUAAAAAAGUCAUGUCAAGCAAAUAAUGGUUUUCUACACCGUUAUAGAACUAAAAAUGUUAGUUGGGAAAUGACGUCUGAAUCCCGAUAAUUGAUAAAGGAACUGUAUUCACAUGUAAAUGCAAAACGUUCAGCCAUGCCUAGAUGAGACCUAGAGCUGAUGGACUAUUAGGAUAGAAAAUAAUAAAAUUAAGCCGAUUACUAUGUGCAGGCCAAGGAUACUAAACUACCUAGUGGUAGAACAAGAUUGUGGAACAAACUAAUACCAAACGAAAGUAAGAGACAUUAAAAGCGAUAUUUGAAUGAUUAUCUUACAAAUAAAAACAAUAGCAAAAGAAAAACGACAUGCAAAGGAGUAUGAAACAAGCCGAGGAAAAAACUCUCUGAAUAUAACUCUUUUGCCGCAUGAUUAUGUAUGUUUUUCUGUUAAACUGAAAUGAAUAAAAUAGGGUUUAUAUUGAAA